This 497-nucleotide ribosomal RNA is filed under the name uncultured bacterium. RNAcentral describes it as "partial 16S ribosomal RNA". It matches the Rfam family "Bacterial small subunit ribosomal RNA", at positions 28 to 507 of the family's 1533-position model. The record is from RNAcentral.
GAUGAACGCUGGCGGCGUGCCUAAUACAUGCAAGUCGAGCGAACAGACGAGGAGCUUGCUCCUCUGACGUUAGCGGCGGACGGGUGAGUAACACGUGGAUAACCUACCUAUAAGACUGGGAUAACUUCGGGAAACCGGAGCUAAUACCGGAUAAUAUAUUGAACCGCAUGGUUCAAUAGUGAAAGACGGUUUUGCUGUCACUUAUAGAUGGAUCCGCGCCGCAUUAGCUAGUUGGUAAGGUAACGGCUUACCAAGGCAACGAUGCGUAGCCGACCUGAGAGGGUGACGGGCCACACUAGUACGGAUCCACCCUCACUACGCCAACGGGUGGCAGCGCUAGGGAAUCUUCGGCAUUAGGGUCACACCUGACAAACCAACGUUUAUUGAGUAACAAAAAUCUUACGAUCCUCAACCCCUGUUAUUAGGGAAGAACAAAUGAGUACAACCCUAUACCACUUUCGACGCUACCUAAUAAGAAAGCCACAGCUCACUCCGUU